Molecule: ribosomal RNA, 500 nt
Filed under: uncultured bacterium
Lineage: Bacteria
Description: partial 16S ribosomal RNA
Rfam family: Bacterial small subunit ribosomal RNA
Source: RNAcentral
GACGAACGCUGGCCGCGUGCCUAAUACAUGCAAGUCGUGCGGACCUUGUUGAAAGCUUGCUUUUAAAAGGUUAGCGGCGGACGGGUGAGUAACACGUGGGCAACCUGCCUGUAAGACUGGGAUAACGCCGGGAAACCGGGGCUACUACCAGAUCGUUUUUUCCUCCGCAUGGAGGAAAAAGGAAAGGCGGCUUCGGCUGCCACUUACAGAUGGGCCCGCGGCGCAUUAGCUAGUUGGCGGGGUAAUGGACCACCAAGGCAACGAUGCGUAGCCGACCUGAGAGGGUGAUCGGCCACAUUGGGACUGAGACACGGCCCAAACUCCUACGGGAGGCAGCAGUAGGGAAUCUUCCGCAAUGGACGAAAGUCUGACGGAGCAACGCCGCGAGAGUGAAGAAGGCCGUCGGGUCGUAAAACUCUGUUGCCGGGGAAGAACAAGUGCCGUUCGAACAGGGCGGCGCCUUGACGGUACCCGGCCAGAAAGCCACGGCUAACUACGUG